AGUAAUUGUCCAAUAGGUGGCAGCAGUGGCGCUGCACAGAGGAAAAACUGCUACACUGAUUCCUAAGAGAAGAAGACAGAAGAAUCGCGAACAGCAGAACGAUAGUGAGCUGAAGCCCCAUUUAGACUUUCCACAUUGAGAAAAAAAAAUAAAAUAUUACAUUUAAGAGCUAGUCAAACGGGUUUUUCUCACCAAACCUACUUCUAAGGCAGGAAUAAUAGAGCAAAGGGUCGAAAUUACGUCAAGGAGUUUACCUACUUGUGUGAUUUUUCUCCGGUGAGUGUUUCACACGUGUUUGUCAUUUGUGCUACUAGCAGACACAGUGUGAUAGAUGUGAUUAAUGAGUUGAGCACGUAAAAGUUAUCUUUAUUUUUCCAUUUUGCUGUAACUCAGUUGUAAAAUGCAUUGUGUGAAAAUGUAUUGAUGAGAUAUGUACUGCAUAAGCUAAAAACCAAUCGGAGUUGAACAUGAGUUUAAUGAUUUGAAAUGUUAUUUCAUGUUGUGUUAAAGCCACGUUAUUACGUGGUAUGCUAGUGCUCGAGUUUCAUGUAUGCCUUGAAUGUAUAGAUUGAAAAUAAGAAUUUAAGCUACUAUAGUAGAAUGAACUCAUGAAUAUGAGUUAUAUUUCCAGAUCUGGUCAAAUUUAUCGAGAGAGUAAUUGAAUGUUGCCCUGCUAUGCAGGUUGGUUUUUUUUGGGAUGCAGGAUUAGAGAGAGAGUGUUCCAUUGGACAAAUUCACCAUCGGACACGUGAGGCAGAAGAGCAGAGGGCGUGAGCAUCGUUUGGCCUGCAACACGAACUGCUUCUACUUAACCAUUCUCCAUUGCUUCGUACAGAUAAGCGCGAGAUUCCACCACACUAAAAAAAAAAAGCAUACUACCCGGGUAGAUGGACUUUGGUUUAUUAUUUUGAGGUUAUUUCAUCAGAGCUCUGAGGGGAUUUUAUUUUAUAUUUUUUUCAAUUUGUGUGAAAAAAUUUAAGACUAAGAGGAAUACUGAUUUCACAACAAAAAAAGAUAAACAAGGUUAUACUGGUUGAUAUUUGAUGUUCAAUAAAUGCCGGCUAUAUGUUCUGAGUAAA
Long non-coding RNA from Carassius gibelio (silver crucian carp), 1079 nucleotides. RefSeq lists it as uncharacterized. The transcript has 2 exons. The record is from RefSeq and is a predicted model, not a curated record. Lineage: Eukaryota; Metazoa; Chordata; Actinopteri; Cypriniformes; Cyprinidae.